AUUGAACGCUGGCGGCAGGCCUAACACAUGCAAGUCGAGCGGAGCUGCGGACGGGGGCGGAAUGCCUAGGAAUGUGCCUGGGAGUGGGGGAGAGCGUUCAGAAACGGAAACUAAUACCAAAUACUCUCAGAAGAGCCUAGGUCGGAUUAGCUAGAUGGUGGGGUCAAGGCCUACCAAGGCGACGAUCCGUAACUGGUCUGAGAGGAUGAGCAGUCACACUGGAACUGAGACACGGUCCAGACUCCUACGGGAGGCAGCAGUGGGGAAUAUUGGACAAUGGGCGAAAGCCUGAUCCAGCCAUGCCGCGUGUGUGAAGAAGGCCUUCGGAUUGUAAAGUACUUUAAGCUGGGAGGCGUUACCCACAGAAGAAGCACCGGCUAACUCCGUGCCAGCAGCCGCGGUAAUAC
Molecule: ribosomal RNA, 407 nt
Filed under: uncultured bacterium
Lineage: Bacteria
Description: partial 16S ribosomal RNA
Rfam family: Bacterial small subunit ribosomal RNA
Source: RNAcentral